GGCUAAUCUAGAGCACUACGCUCAGCUAUAUCCAUCCGUUCAUCUCAGCCGGCCGGCGAGCCACCACCAUCCGAGCCAACAGCAUCGCCGUCCUCCUCUGCCUCCCCCUACCGCUUCCCCAUCGCCAUUGAUUUCGCGUGCAGCAGGACCAACGGCGCGCAGAAGGAUCAAGGACCACAGGCACACAUACACAUCUGAGCGUGGUGCGCGGCCGGCGGCAACACGGCAGGCCGGCUGCACGCCUGACGCACAGCUUGCGCGGUCGGCAGUUCCUCGGUGCGGCAGGGAAGGCCGUGUACUACACAGCCGGCUCCGUCGCAGGUUUCCAAAGCCAAGGUCACUAGGUCAGGUAUGGUCGCUUUUAAUUUCACUUUGUAGUCGAUUGAUUAUUUUAUUUGUACCAAAAAUAGAAUCAAUAUUCGGAGCUGGAAAGGUACAGAGCUGCCUGAACGACUCAACCUGAACGUGCAAUGUUGCUAGUACCUGACUCGGACUUUACUAGCUACGUAUUACUAUUUUUUAGUUCCAAAGGAUAGUUAUAAUAAAAACAUAUAAGGGCAUGUUCGGUUUUAUCUCGAUUUAUAUGGAUUAGAGAGGAUUAAGUGGUUUCAAUCUAUAGCCAGUCAAAAAAAAAUAUUAAUCCCUUCAAUUCACACCAAUCCAUUUAAUUCAUUGUUCGAUUAUUCCAAUCACAUGUGGAUUAGAUGAGAUUGGGAAAAAUAUAAAUUUUUUUUAAUUUGUUUGAGAUUUAAACACAACCAAUUCACAUGAAUUGAGAGCAAAACGACAAGCCCUAAGAAAUUUUCGAGAAGGACUUUUCUCCAACAGUUAUUUGAAGCAGAUCCCUAAAUUUACAAAACUCCAUACAAAACCCAGUUUUAUCUUUAUAUUUAUCAACCUCGUUGGACUCCCUAAAUCAACGUUGGUGAUGAGUCCAAUGUGAAAAGCAUACCACAACCACUGUUUCGCGCCGUGCCACACUGCCCCAUCGACCCAAAUCCAUCUCCAACGUUCAUAUGUGUUGACGGUGUCAUCACGAGACAACCUCUUGUACCGAGGCGCCAUCCUCCCGUGCGGCCUUCAAGCCAUCGACGCGAUCGUCUGGUCUUCCAUUGACAACUCUAACCUCCCAAGAUGUCAGGAGGAAUAUUGUUGAUAUUGAUUUCUGUCGCCGGUUCAAUUAAAAAUAGACACACUUACUUUUUACAGACAACUUAAAAAAUUAGCAACCGAUAAAUAGAGAAUGGUUAGAGCAUAAAUAACUUUUUUAUUCCUUAAAGUGUUUUUAGCAACUUACUAGAUCUAUAAUUUAUGAUGCUAAGUUUAUAUAACUAUUCGAGAUACUCUUAACUGCUAAAAUUAGUUGUAGAGGUUCUAAGCACCCGCUAGCUAAUAUCCCAACUAAUUAUCAGCUAACUCACAACUAAUAAUUAGUUCAUUAGCAUGCUCAACCCGCUAACAAUUUAUUAGCUGACAUAGCCUAAUGGUAAAAACAAAUUCGAGUUAGAGAUGACUAGGACCUAGAUAGUCGGGAUAUUCGUGCCCUACCAAAUAGGUUAAUUCCUUUGCCUUGCCUACUGAAUAUCAGAUAGCCUAUUCAAAAAGCUAUUCAAAAAGGUACUUUAUUAGUAGCAACGUCGUUAAAACGGUACACGGAGAACAGUAACCAGCGGUAGGGACACCGUACCUUUGGAAUUGGAGAUCGACCACUCGACCAGCUACACGAUGAGCCCGUAUAAAACUGUCGUCUUUAGAUGUGCAUCUGGUUCCCGGUGUGCGUGCUAGUAUCGGAUUCGUAGGCAUCUCUCUCAGCUGAAAAAAAAAGCCUGGCAUGCUUUACUUGACGACCGCGGAGUGGCUUGACGUAACGAUCAGUGCUUUUCUUGAGCAGUGAGCACAAAAAACGCUUAUCAGCAAAUGCAAAUUAAUGGGAGAUUGGAAAGAUCAUAGCUCAAGUUUGAGUUCUUACACACUCAGACGACUCCGGGCGAAUGAAAAAUACUGUCAUCACUAAGUAUGAAAAAUGCAGCUCUAUCCUUAGGUGUGUUUGGUUGGAAAGCCAAUUAGAAUAGAGCGGUUUCAUUCAAGUUUCUAAGAAUGGAGCCAUUCUAUCUUGUGUUUGGUGAUUAGAACUAAACUGCUCUAUUUUUUUUGUUUAAUCGAAGACUAGAAUAGAGCGGAGUUACUCUGUUUAUUGUUUCGUUGGAGAGCCAUACAAGUAUGGAGGGGAGAAAAGGAAGGUGAGUGCUCACAUCCACGAGAGCGCUCACAUCCAAUUGUUUUGGUGGAGUGAGAGCAUUUCAAAUAUUUACCAUAUAUAGAUUCUAGAGUUAUUUCACUCUCUCCUUAGAAACCAAACAUUUAUUAGAAAACAAGAAUUGAGUCACUCUAUUCCCCUUCAUUCUUCAACCAAAACACACCAGGCUCACUUGGUUUGCUUGUGUCACAGCCCGUGGCCGUCGACGAAGAUCGCCGCGAUGUGAGCACCAGGAAUCGCCGCCAAGGGAACAGAUACACGGAUGUCUCA
RNAcentral lists this long non-coding RNA (2527 nucleotides) under Zea mays. Its description in RNAcentral is "long non-coding RNA (ZMAY_LNC001507)". The record is from RNAcentral. Lineage: Eukaryota; Viridiplantae; Streptophyta; Magnoliopsida; Poales; Poaceae.